This 683-nucleotide ribosomal RNA is filed under the name Erwinia sp. A9-3b-2. Its description in RNAcentral is "bacterial SSU rRNA". It matches the Rfam family "Bacterial small subunit ribosomal RNA", at positions 56 to 731 of the family's 1533-position model. The record is from RNAcentral. Lineage: Bacteria; Pseudomonadati; Pseudomonadota; Gammaproteobacteria; Enterobacterales; Erwiniaceae.
UGCAGUCGAACGGUAGCACAGAGAGCUUGCUCUCGGGUGACGAGUGGCGGACGGGUGAGUAAUGUCUGGGAAACUGCCUGAUGGAGGGGGAUAACUACUGGAAACGGUAGCUAAUACCGCAUAACGUCUUCGGACCAAAGUGGGGGACCUUCGGGCCUCACACCAUCGGAUGUGCCCAGAUGGGAUUAGCUAGUAGGUGGGGUAAUGGCUCACCUAGGCGACGAUCCCUAGCUGGUCUGAGAGGAUGACCAGCCACACUGGAACUGAGACACGGUCCAGACUCCUACGGGAGGCAGCAGUGGGGAAUAUUGCACAAUGGGCGCAAGCCUGAUGCAGCCAUGCCGCGUGUAUGAAGAAGGCCUUCGGGUUGUAAAGUACUUUCAGCGGGGAGGAAGGCGAUAAGGUUAAUAACCUUGUCGAUUGACGUUACCCGCAGAAGAAGCACCGGCUAACUCCGUGCCAGCAGCCGCGGUAAUACGGAGGGUGCAAGCGUUAAUCGGAAUUACUGGGCGUAAAGCGCACGCAGGCGGUCUGUCAAGUCAGAUGUGAAAUCCCCGGGCUUAACCUGGGAACUGCAUUUGAAACUGGCAGGCUAGAGUCUUGUAGAGGGGGGUAGAAUUCCAGGUGUAGCGGUGAAAUGCGUAGAGAUCUGGAGGAAUACCGGUGGCGAAGGCGGCCCCCUG